UCUCAAGAAAUCUAUAAGAUAUUAAGUUUUUACCUUAAAUAAGAUUUAUCCUCCUUGAGAA
This 61-nucleotide transfer RNA is filed under the name Ergasilus tumidus. RNAcentral describes it as "tRNA-Lys". Lineage: Eukaryota; Metazoa; Arthropoda; Copepoda; Poecilostomatoida; Ergasilidae. The record is from RNAcentral.